GACGAACGCUGGCGGCGUGCUUAACACAUGCAAGUCGAACGGAAAGGCCCCUUUGGGGGUACUCGAGUGGCGCACGGGUGAGUAACACGUGAGUAACCUGCCCUUGACUUCGGGAUAACUUCAGGAAACUGGGGCUAAUACCGGCUAGGAAUCCUUGCUGCAUGGUGGGGGUUGGAAAGCUUCGGCGGUUUUGGAUGGACUCGCGGCUUAUCAGCUUGUUGGUGGGGUAGUGGCUUACCAAGGCUUUGACGGGUAGCCGGCCUGAGAGGGCGACCGGCCACAUUGGGACUGAGAUACGGCCCAGACUCCUACGGGAGGCAGCAGUGGGGAAGAUUGCACAAGGGGCGGAAGCCGGAUGCAGCAACGCCGCGUGCGGGAUGACGGCCUUCGGGUUGUAAACCGCUUUCAGCAGGGGCGAAGCUUGUGGUGACGGUACCUGCAGAAGAAGCACCGGCUAACUACGUG
Molecule: ribosomal RNA, 465 nt
Filed under: uncultured bacterium
Lineage: Bacteria
Description: partial 16S ribosomal RNA
Rfam family: Bacterial small subunit ribosomal RNA
Source: RNAcentral